RNAcentral lists this long non-coding RNA (1980 nucleotides) under Pan troglodytes (chimpanzee). RNAcentral describes it as "long non-coding RNA NONPTRT008525". The record is from RNAcentral. Lineage: Eukaryota; Metazoa; Chordata; Mammalia; Primates; Hominidae.
CCAGAGGCUGAGCCCAGGCAGGAGAAGGAGGCGGCUUCGGAGAGAGAGGAAAAGGAGGUGGAGCAGCUGGAGCACUUGAGAGACGAACUGAAGAAGGUGACAGAGACGCUGGGGGAGCAGCUCAGGAGGGAGGGCUGACCCCUACCUCAUUCCCUCCUUCCUCCUGACACACCCUGUGGCUUAGGACUGUUGACCCCGAAGCCUCCACCUCACCUAGCACCCCACGCCACCCCUACCCAAACAGGGGAGGAGGCGGACGUGCCUUGGAACCACACCCAAGGAGGUGAGUCUGAGCUGGGCCGGGGGCUGGGCUCAGCCCUGACACAGGAAGCACCCCCACACCUAUGCACUCCCACUCCAACCCUUCUGAGUGAAUAAAGCACAAAGAAACGCACCCUGCCUCUGUGAACAGCACUUGAUGUGACAGGGACGGGCCCCAGAAGGACCCGGAGGACUGGGAAGACAAGAUCAGUCUGGUCUCUGGUUGUCAGAACUAGGGUUUUGUUUAUUAAACUGGAAAUUAUAUUAACAAUGAAACAAAUCAGACGGGGUCGGGGUCGUCAGGAAGAGGUUUUGAGGCUGGGGUGGGAGGCAGCCGGGUUUGGCUGCAGCUGCUGUGAACCACAAUGUCGUCGUAUUCAUCCUGGGGGCAAAGGGGACCAGGCAGAGGGGCUCAGGCAGCUGUCACUUUGCCCACCACCCAUGUCCUCAUAGAGCACCCUAAGAAUUGGGUCUCGCCUCAAAGCCCAAGUUCCCCUGCUCCUGGCUCAACCUCCCAGUUUCCUAGCUCUCAGAACUCCAUCUUCUUUUCUUUUCUUUCUUUCUUUUUUUUUUUUUUUUUAAGAUGGAGUCUCGCCCUGUCGCCCAGGCUGGAAUGCAGUGGCGUGAUCUAGGUUCACUGCAACCUCCACCUCCAAGGUUCAAGCAAUUCUCCUACCUCAGCCUCCCAAGUAGCUGGGAUUAUAGGCAUGCGCCACCACGCCCAGCUAAUUUUUGUAUUUUUAGUAGAGACAGGGUCUUGCCAUGUUGGCCAGGCUGGUCUCGAACUCCUGACCUCGUGAUCCGCCCGCCUCGGCCUCCCAAAGUGCUGGGAUUACAGGCGUGAGCCACCACACCUGGCCAGAACUCCAUUUUCAAGGUCAUUUCUACAGACCAAUUUCUAGCCAGCCGCCACUCCAGAGUUUCGGCAACUGAGCUGGGCCUCCUCCACCCCUUCCCUCUGCCUUUACCCAAAUUCCUCCGCACCCAUCAUUCAGCACCGCGCCUUGCCCAAGGACAGAUCUGUAUUGCUGGGUUCUCUGACUAUAUCUCUCCCCACCGCUGGCUCGGGUCCUGCCCCAGCACUGCCGGUGUUCAAAUCACUGCCACCCAAGGUUUUCUUUUCGCAGUGUGAGUUCUCCAAUUCUUGCUGCCUAAAAUCACCCCCAGCGCUGCCACCCACCCCCGCUGUGUUCACCAAUCACUGCGACCAACGUCUUUUCUCCACCCCUGCCUGAGUUCUACCUUUGCCACUGCCUUAGUUUUUCAGCCACUUCUGCCCAAGCUCUUCCCACCACCCCUGUCCAGGUCUCUCCUGACUAGUGCCCCGUGUCACUGGCGCUGCUGCCUGAGUUCUCUAACAGCAGCCCAAGGUCGGUGCCUAAUUAUCUUCUUGGGCUUCUUGCCUGCCGGUCUAUCCUGACCCCCCAGCUGGGCUGCCCUGUCUCUCCUCCUGACUCACGCCCUCGUCUCCGCUGUCGCUGUCGCUACUGCUGCUGCAGGGGCCGGAUUUCUCGUCCUCGCCCUCGGGCUCAGGGGCUCCGUGUGCACGGAGGAGGCGGGCGAGGAUGGGGUUGGGCCGGAGCAUGGCACUGCCGAGUGGGGUGCGGCCGCCGUACAUGCGGGCAGCAGGGUUCGCGCCUGCCCUCAGGAGAAGCUCCAGCACAUCGGCCGCCUGGGCCUCCACUGCCAAAUGAAGGGGGCUCCGGCCGCACGUGGGCU